GACAACUCGCGGGGAUUGUUUUCCACACCGUGGAAGCUUUGUUCUUUUCGUUUUUUGCAAUAAAUCUUGUUGCUGCUCGCUUUUUGGGUCCACAUUGCUUUUAUGAGCUGUACCACUCACCGUGAAGAUCUGCAGCUUCACUUCAGAGCCUAGCGAGACCACAAGCUCACUGAGAGGAACAAACAACUCCAGACGCGCUGUCUUAAGAGCUAUAACACUCACCGCGAAGGUGUGCAGUUUCACUCCUGAGCUAGUGAGACUACGAAGCCACUGGAACGAAGAAACUCCAACCACGUUUGAACAUCAGAAGGGGCAGACUCCAGACGCUUCAUCUUAAGAGCUGUAACACUCACUGUGAAGGUCUGCAGCUUCACUCCUGAGCCAGCGAGACCACGAACCGAUCUGAACAUCAGAAGGGACAGACUCCAGAUGCCCCACCUUAAGAGCUGUAAUACUCACUGCAAGGGUCUGCAGCUUCAUUCUUGAAGUCAGACCAAGAACCCAGCAAUUCCCAACACACAGGGACCAGCUUCUUUCCUAACUCACUUAGGCUCUUCGUGCUGCUCUGGCAACUAACACCCUUGGCUGCAGGGGCUUGGACACUACCCUUAGUCACUGACAAUUGUGUGAAGGCUGCUGUCGUUAACUUCACUUGAUCACCUUAGGCUCCUGUGAAGUGGUGAGCAAUUCAAACAAAUUCCUGUCGUCAAAUCAUGCUGGAGUGCAAUGGCGUGAUUAUGGCUCACUGCAGCCUUGACCUCCUGGACCCAGGUGAUCCUCCCACUUUAGCCUUUCAAGUAGCUGGGACUACAGGUGUGUGCCACAAUACCCGGCUAAUUUUUUAAAAAUUUUAAUAAAGACAGGGUCUUGCUAUGUUGUUCAUGCUGGUCUAGAACCCUGGGCCUCAAGAAGUCCUCCUGCCUCAGCCUCCCAAAAUGCUGGGGCCAAGAAGAAAGAACAGAUCUGGAGGUGGAGAUUUUGGAGGAUCAUAACAAAAGAGGAAAUAUGUAAAGCCAUGAGACUGGACUUGAUCACUACGAGAGCAGGUAUAGAUAGAAAGGAGUUCUGAGGACUGAGCCCUAGAGCCUCCCUAAUAUUAAGAGGUGCCAGCAAAGCAGAGUGAGGCACAUGUGAGCUUGGGUUACGCAGCAAAUGCUAACUGAUACAAGGGCCAAUUUCCUUCAUGUGCAAAGAACUCCUCCUCCUCUUUCUUAUUCAAAGAACCCCUAUGAAUCAAUAAGUAAAAUAAUAAAAGGAGAGUGAGAAGUGCCAGGGAAUAUGAGAAAAGUGAGGAGAAUGAGGAGUCUUGGAAGCCAAAUGAAGAAAGUGUUUCAAGGAACAGCCAAAGAUCAGCGCAUAAGAGAUAGUUAUUAUACCUACGAUGAGGGUGGGAAAAGAAUGCCAGAUUUGAACACAGCAGAAGUCACUGUCAACCUUCACAAGAGCAAUUUUAGUGGAGUGAUGAGGGCAGCAAAGACAUGAUUGGAAUAAAAAGGUGUAUAGUAAAAAUUCUCCUUCUCCCUCCUAUCAAUCAUCUGCUCAUUUCCCAGAACCCCUACCCCCACCCAGGGAACCACUUUUAUUAAUUUCUUAUUUAUACAUUGAGAGUUUUUAUGCAAAUAUAAGUAUACAUGGAAAAUAUAUAUUCUCACUCUGUGGUUUUCAAAUUUAAAAGUUAGCAUUCUAUGUAUACUUCUCUAUACCUUGCUAUUUUUCCUAAGCUAUCUUAAGGCUCUUUCCUAUCUGUUCUUAAAGAGCUUCCUCAUUCUUGGUUGGCUUCUGUACAGUGGUUCAUUGUGGACAUGCCCUGACCAGUUCCCUGUUGAUAGACGUGGGCUGUUUCCAAUGUUUUAUUGAUUAUACAAACAAUUCUUCAGUGAAUGACCUUUUCACAAUACAUGUGUGGGUAUAUUUAUAGGGCAAUUCUUCCAAAGUGGAUUUCUGGGUCCAAGGGUAGAUGAUAAUUUGGUAGAUGUUGCAAAUUUCCACAGUUUGCAUUUCCAUCAGCAACAUGUGUGAAUACAGUUAAGUCUCUAUUGAUGGAAAGUGAGAUUAUUUCAAAUAUUUUGCCAUUGCAAAAUAAGCAGCAAAGGAUACACCUGAAUAUUCAAAAAUUUCUUAUGCAUGAGAAUAUAUUUGCAGAAUAGAGAUCCUGAUUGAUUUGUAGGGGUUCUUUCUAUUAUCAUGUGAAGGAAAUUAGCCCUUAUAUCAGUUAGCUUUUACUGUAUGAGACAAGCUCCAAAGUGGACGGCUAAACAGCUGUUUAUUCAGCUGCUGGUUCUUUGGGCCUGCAAUAUGGGUUGGGAUUAGCUGGGUGGUUCUGCUCUUUGGGGCCAGGGUAGGCUGAUCUUGGCUGGCCUUGUUGAGGAACAGCUAGGGUGGGAGUGCUCAGCUGGGUGGUUUUUUUCUUUCUGCUCCAUGUGGUCAAUCAGCCUCCAUCUAGCUGGCCUAGGCUUUUUCACAAGGCAACUCAUGGUUCAAGAGCAGUCAGGCCAAAUGCCCUUGCACAAGUGCUUUUCAAGCCUCUGCAUCACAUUUGUACUAUCCCAUUGGCUGAGGUGAGUCAAGUCCAGUGUCCAUGUGGUAAGACACUACCCAAGGGCAUGGAUACAGGGAAGCAUGAACAAAUCGGGGUCAUUACUGCGAUCAAUCUAUGGUGGCCCACAAAGGCCUAAUCUUAAUUCUCUGUCAUAAGUAUUUUGGGUUAUCACUCUAAUUUGUUUAUUGAUAAAGCAAGGGACUGUGCUAGAAGUGGCAAUGAUCCUUGAAGCAGCUGAUCACAACAGUUUCAGUUCUGGAAUAUGAGCUUCCUUAGAGUGAAGGUCUUGCCUUCUGUAGAGAGACCACUCGUGAUGGUGACAGCCAUGAGGACCAGGUGCAGGACUAUGCAGGACGUGGAAUGGCCUCACUUUUGUGGCUUUAAAAAUAAAUUUUUAUUUUCCAAAGCAGUCCUCUUUCCUUCACUCAAACGGAGCUUAAUGACCAGGUAUCCCUCUGGCAUUCCACACAACCCAGCAGGACAGGUUUGAUCUCUGCUGAUUUCAGCUGCUAAUGUGUUUCAGUGGAAACAGACUGCAUCCAAGCCAGGACCUUCAGAAUCACGCUGGGACAGUCAGGUGACUGAAGAGAAAUUUUGACUCAUUGAAAAUAGUCUUCUUGACCCUUGUUCCCAUCUAAUUUAUAUUUUUCAUUUCAUAAAUGGAGUUGACUGAGUCAGCCCAGGAGCUUGCUAUUUUGGGGAGAAAAGUCUAUGAUAAAAUCCAUGAAAUUAGUCCUCUGAGAGUGUGGGCAGAGAGGUGACAGUGACUGUGCAACCCCUGAGGCAUGAGUGUUUCUGUGAUGUGAUGCUGUCACCCACAUGCAGGCCUGAGGAACCAAGGAGAGCCCUUGACAGCGGGCAGGAAGAGGAGGAGAAAGAAGUGACUUUUAUUGAGCACCUACUGCAUUCCAAGCACUGCACAAGGCACUGUGUGUACAGAGACACAUAAGAUGCUGUCUCAGUCCUGAAUAGACAUCAGCUAGCAUGAAGAAAUCCCACAAAAACACAGUAUCAAGAAGGAAGAGGAGAAGGUGGAGCCAGAUAGAGAAGGAGGAAAAAUAAACAAACGGAAUUACAGCAAAACAAGGGUAGUGAGAAGGUACGUCAAAGACCAACUACCUGGUGGGGUAUUGGAAGAUUUUAACCACUGUCCAAAGAGGCCCUGACUAUUUCAGUCUCUGGUUCGCCUGCAGAUAGCAUCAACUCAUGGAGAGUUUGAGUUUCAAAUCCACUCCUAGUUGCAAGGGCAGGAUCCACAGCCUGUUUAUCCGAGACUGCUCUGCACUUCCUGCUCAGAUUUGAGAGUUAGUUAUGUGGCCUGGAAACUUCUUUCUCUAAGCUAAACUCCUUUGGCAUGUGAUUUGCAUCCAGACAAGAGCUGAGCAGCUUAAAGUCCCAGGAACUCCUUCAGGGGCGCUUGGAUCUUAUUAAAUGAGAUCAGAGCCCUGGUGUGUCCUGCUCAGUGCCAGCAUUCCCACCCUGAAAAGAUGCCUUGCACACAGAAGGCGAGAAACAACCAUGCGUUGAGCGAGUGUGUCAUUGUGUCUGGAACAGGCUAACGCCUUUCCCAAGCACCCAGGGUACCCCAGGGAGUCUGAAUUUUCUCUGGAAAUGACCCCUUCAUUCUUUCCCAGCUUGAUCUUCAGUAGUCCCAGGGUGGCCGUGAGAGGGUAUUUGCUCCUCUCCUUCACUGGAAUUUCUCCUCCCGCUCACCAGAAAGAAGAAUGAGGAAGUGUACAUGACAGAUUCUCUGGGUCUGGCUUAUUUGUUCAAGGAACACAUUUGGGCCAGCACCCAAGGAUAAGGGACAGCCCUGCCAGGCUCCCCUGGGGACUGUGGAGGGCAGGGUGUUUGGUUUCUGGGCUCAUCAAAAGCAAGGUGGCAGUUGAGAUUUGGAAGAUCCCAGCUCAUCCAGUGGGCAGCAGCCAGAUGGCAGGAGUUUCCCCACUGAGCAGGUGGGCUGUGGUCUGGGUCUCUGGAAGUCACACAGACCUGGCCUGGGGGGCACUGGCUCUGUUCUGCCCCUGCCCUGUGCUCAUGCGGAGGCUGGGCUUCCGACUGGCUUUGCUGGAGCACCCAGGAACCUGAUGGGUAGAGCCUGGCCUGGACCAGCCUUGUUCUGUGUGAAGCCCUGAUGCCUGGCCUUUCUUCUGUCAGGGAUCCUACUCCCAUAUUUCAUGCUGGAGUGUGUGCCCUCUCCAAGCCCAUUGCCCCCAGAACCACUGCCCCGUCAUCCAUCAAGCACAAUGUUGCGUCACCAGGAGUGGGGCUCCUGAUGGAUUCAUUACUUCAUAUGUCGGGUUUACAAACCUGUACCUCCCUAUCUAUCUCUCUCUCUCCCCCCCUCCCCCCCUUUCUGUAACACACACACACACACACACACACACACACACACACACACACACACAGAGAUCUCAGAACCCACACCACCCAUUCUGUGUGGCUGGCUCUAUCACAGUGAGCUAGAAGCCAGUUUUGGAGAUGAAUUGACUGGAGCAUCUCUACAAAGUUAUGUUUUCACAAUUUUUUUUUAAGAGACAGUGUCUUUCUGUGGCCCAGGCUGGAGUACAGUGGUGCCAUCACAGCUCACUGCAGCCUCAACCUCCUUGGCUCAAGCGAUCCUCCCACCUCAGUCUUCUGAGUAGCUGGGACUAACAGGUACAUGCCACCAUGCACAUCUAACAGGCUUGACUAGAUUUCUUCAUUGACUUUAUUAUCUUCUUGAUAAUCAAUUUGAAAAACUGACAUUGAGCAGGGCCUAGCUUAUGGUUGCCUUGGUAGGUUGGCGGGAAUACCCCGGAUUCUUUAGCAAGCCUGGCUGUUUUCCUUCUCAUACACAAAGUGGUCAAGCCUGCUCUUGGCAACCGCGAUUGACUGCAUUCACUCCCUUCCCUGAUUAUCUCAUCCAGAUAGGUCCAAGUGCCAUUCUGUUGUUACUUGCUUGCUAUUAGUAAUUGUGACUAUACUUCGAUAGUGAAGUAAUUUUGUUGUAAUUCUCUUAGUUACGUGUUUGUUUAUUCAUUUUUAUUAUGAUUUUUUGAGACAAAGUUUCGCUCUUGCCACCCAGGCUGGAAUGCAGUGGCACGAUCUUGGCUCACUGAAACUGCUGCAUCCUGGGUUCAAGCAAUUCUGCCUCAGCCUCCUGAGUAGCUGGGAUUACAGGUGCCCGCCACCACGCCCAGCUAAUUUUUUAUGCUUUUAGUACAGACGGGGUUUCCCCAUGUUGGCCAGGCUGGUCUUGAACUCCUAACCUCAGGUGAUUCGCCUGCCUCGGCCUCCCAAAGUUCUGGGAUUAUAGGCGUGAGCCACUGCACCUGGCUAAUUUUUUGUAUUUUUAGUAGAGAUGGGGUUUCACCAUGUUGGCCGGGCUGGUCUUGAACUCCUAACCUCAGGUGAUCACCCACCUCGCCCUCCCAAAGUGCUGGGAUUACAGGUGUGAGCCACCGUGCCUGGCUUAUAGUUAUGCAUUAAUAAAUGUCAGAGCUGCUGUGAUAAGUCACAAAGGCAGCACUAGAGCACAGUCACUGUACAGUCUUUGGAGUCAAACUGACCCAAGUUCAAACUUGGCUACACCACUGAACAGCCAUGUAAUUCUGAGCCAGUCACAUGACCUCUCUGAGCCUCAGUUUACUCAACUGAAGACAGAAUAACUACUUGUCUGGGUCAAUAUGGGAAUUAAAUGAAAUAAAGGAUAUAAAUCUGUUAGCACAGUGUCUAGGAUAUGUGGCCCACCAAAGAUAGACUGUUACUGGAGAUCUAUUUUUGGAACAAUCCAUAUUAGAGAUUGAUCUAGAAAAACUUGUAUUUGUUUCCUUACAUAGGAAGCAAGCUGUUCAUUUUAAUAAAUACAAAUUUAUAUUUCUAAGUGAGUGUAAGAGGAGUUUGUAUGAUUCACAGCUUGCGUGUCUACGACUGGGUUCAGAAGGAAAGCCAGGGCCUGUGCGUUUCUGAGGUUGGAGCAGACCCUGCCCUCCCGUGGGCAUCCUGUGCUCUCUGGUGGUGCUAUGAGCUGGACGGGUCAUUGCUUGGUAAGACCUUUCUCAUCUCUUCAUGGCUAAUUAGGAUGAAAACACUCAGCACGGAUCUGAAGAAUGUGCCCUAGGACUGGGACAGAGAAAAACAGGGUGAAGAAAGCAGGUGAAGAUCAGAGUUUGUUUUGAAUGUAACCAGCUUUGUGCAUCGCUGUUUACACUUGUGGAACAAAGGCCCUGGGGCAUGCUGUAGAAUUUCAGCCUCCCUAGUGGACGUUGGCCCUGCUGUCCCUCUUGGAGGAGCUGAGAUGCUGCCUGGCCCCCUUGCCCCCCAGACAUAGGCACUCACACACAGAAUGACUUCACGGCCCAGCCUCCUUGCUGCCUUUAACUCAGUGAAUCUGCUGUCGCACUGUUUGUUGACCUGGAGGUACAAACGCCUGAUUAUAGUACAAGGAGUUGUCUCUUCCCUGGGUAUUAAAAACAUUAUUAGGGGUCAAAAUCUCAAACCAAGAGAGCAGGCUCUGAUGGUUGGAUUGCAGCACUCAGCCUGUGGGCAGAGGAAGGGUUGGAGAUUCAGUGUCACAAUAAAUGCCUGGUCCUACCCAGAAGUUGACCCUGAAAAUGUUGAGUAUGGACCCUGAAUUGUCUUAGCAAAGCUGUGAUGAAAUGACAAGCUUAGCUUCAGGACUAAGUGGACUUGUUAGAAACCAGUUUCCUCUAUGAAUGGACUUGAUGGAAGGCCAAGCAUGUGAGGGAAGCCCCCAGCCUACCACGCCAUCUCCUGCUCGAAGCUUUUGGGAGUUUUCAGGAAAGUGCAGAGACUUGAGUUUCUGUAAAGCUGCCGGAUAGCUGUGAUCGUGACCUCAAAGUCCAUCCUCCUUCACGGUCUUCCUUCCGCUGGAAUUUGGUGUGAUUAAAAGGAUUUGGGCUUUAAGUCUGAGACACGUGGGUUUAAAUCCUCCUUCCUGCCUGCCUGCAUUCAGUCACUGGUCUCACAAAUAGGUGUAGGACAGAUACUCUGCGUGGGGUCUGGGGUUAUAGACAAGGCAGACGAGGGUCCUGACGCUGAGGGGGUUUACGUUUUAGCUGGAAUGACAUGCAAUGCAGUGGUAAGUUACAACAGGGAUUGUGACCAGGUAAGUGCAUGUCUAUGGAAAAACAAUGUGGCUGCGGGUCUGAGGGGGCUUUCGUGAGUGACUUAACUGAGUGCUGAAAUGUGGAAAGAGGGUAAGUGAGGGGGGUGGGAUGUAGGGAAGAGCAGCCAGAGAGAGAACAGCAUGUGCAAAGGCCCUGAGGCAAGAAGGAAUCUGGCCCAAGCAUGUGGCACUUCAGUUUACUACCUGCUUCCCUACAUUGCUCAAGAAGAGUGAGUUAGGCUGGGCACAGUGGCUCAGGCCUGCAAUCCCAGCAUUUUGGGAUGCCAGGGCUGGGGGAUGGCUUGAGGCCAGGGGUUUGAGACCAACCUGGGCAACAUAGCGGGACCCCCAUCUCUACAAAACAUUUUUAAAAAGUAUCCAAAGGCAGUGAUACACAUGUGUACUCCUAGCUACUCAGGAGGCUGGAGGAUUACUUGAGCACAGGAGGUCAAGGAUGCAGAGCUAUGAUUGCACCACUGCACACUGCACUUCAACCUGGGUGACAGUGUGAGCCCCUGUCAAAGAAAAAGUGCAUUGUAAAGAACAAUGAGUGUGAAGUGCCAUAUUGGCUGGCUCAUAAUAGGUCUUCUGUCCAAGGACUUUGAGUGUCCACCUCCUCCUUAUUAAAGCCCUCUCAAACUUUGCUUUUCUUGAAAAGAGUGGAAUUUAGAUGAUUUUGCAGCAAUUGGGAUCCAGGAAGCCAGAAGCCCCACAUAGCCCAGGACUGGCCUGUGAAUGAUAAAGAGGUGGAAUUGUGUUAUUGAGCAAACAAGUAGGUGGCAGAUGCUGCUGCCUCAACCAGCUCUUGGUGGGAUCGGCUACAAGGGUGUGCAUUUUCCACUGUACCUACCUUUGUCCAAAAAUUACUGGUUCCUUCCUCACACUGCAUGAACAAGCCACAUGACUAUAGGAUUUCUCAGAGAUAGGUCUCAACUGAGCCUUAAUUAUUCAUAUGGAUGGAUUAAUUAUGAUGAAUCAAGGGGUGCAGCAUGUGGGUUCACCAGUAAAACAAGAGCCCGUGUGGACAGAGUUUGGCAGAGACAGGACCUGCUGCUCCGCCCAAUUUAAUUUAAUGCAUGCCUGGGCAGAGGGGUUUCUUCAGUCCUGACUUACCCUUGACUUCCCGGCUACACUCUGUGGGUUUCAGGAGUGACUUCUCUAACACCUUCUGGACCAGGAGGAGAAGCAUUGUUAGGGCCUGUCCCCGGGGUCCUGGGCUCCAAGGCCGGGCUGUGUUGAUCUUGAAUUGAUGAUGGCUCUGCUGAGGUUGCUUUUGUGUUUGCUUCUUGAUCGCUUGUUGUGAAAUGUGUUCAGUAGUAGUCAUGAAGCAGAUCUUUGGCAUAAAUUUUCAUCCCAGCAAGCAGUGCAUGAAAUUGAAAAUCAGCAGAGCCAAGGAGAGGGAGCCCAGGCUCCCGACAAAUGUGGACUCCUUGGAGAUGUCCCACCUGGAUGGCGGGAACAGCCUCUCUGGGGCCUCUGAGUGCUCUGCUGCCCCACAUCACCUCCUCACCCUGGCAGAGCCCGGCUCUCUCCAGGGACUCCACUUUCCUUUCACUGCUUCCAGGGGAGGCUGCUAAUUUUCCGUGUCCUCCAAGAUUUGCACAUUACCACUUGCAGAUCAAAAGCUCUCUCCCGCACAAGCACCAGUAUCUCUGAGGCUCCAGCUCCGCCAACCUCCAUUCCAUCAUCCAGGGCCUCAUAGCUCCUCACAGUGCCCCCUCACUUGCAGGCAUGCUGACGGUGCAGCCUUAGCACCUCGUGCUCUAGCCCUCCAAACACACUGCCUUCUGCUGGCCUCAGACACGCACUCCCACAGCCACAAGCUGGACUCUGAUGAUAUGAAACUGCAACCUAUAAAAGAAUAAAAUCAAACCUGCCACUCUUUGGCUGCAACCUCUUGCUCUUUCUAGCUCAGUGUCCUACUGAUUCUAACUGCAAUCAAAAGCAUAUGUGUAUGUGUUUGUGUGCAUGUGUGUGUAUAUACAUAUGUGUAUA
This 9644-nucleotide long non-coding RNA is filed under the name Homo sapiens (human). RNAcentral describes it as "HSALNT0331880". Lineage: Eukaryota; Metazoa; Chordata; Mammalia; Primates; Hominidae. The record is from RNAcentral.